RNAcentral lists this long non-coding RNA (587 nucleotides) under Homo sapiens (human). RNAcentral's name for it is "non-protein coding lnc-SLC22A31-7:7". Lineage: Eukaryota; Metazoa; Chordata; Mammalia; Primates; Hominidae. The record is from RNAcentral.
UUCCAAAAGAAUCGUGAUCUCAGUGACAUAUACGUGGAAGAUGGAAAUGGAGCCCACAACUCUGCAGUGCAUCCUGAUGCCGCGCUGACCUGACGGCUUGUGCGUGUCCCUUUGGCUGCACCAGUGAGCACAGUGGCAGGCGUGUCAGAGAAAGGGCCCCUUCUGCAGACGGUCUCUCACCAUUGCCGACCACGGAAUCCCAGAACCGCUGAGCUGCCUCGGGAAGAACCAGCAGGUGUCUGCAUCGUUGAGUGUGUUCUGAUCCAAAGGACCGCCGGGGUCCUGCUUGUCCUGGGGCAGCCACGAGGGAGCCCUCGUCAGGAGCGCCAUGGGCCGAAGCUGCCUGCCCUCUGCACGUGGAUGUUUCUUUGGAACAAGGGGAAAAAUUAUGAUUUUCUUAUUUUGCUUUGACCUGUGAAUGACACCCUGGUCUCUGGUGCCUGGGGUGUGCUCUCUGCAGUGCUGCCAGGCACAUGCUGGUUCCUUCAGCGUUAGGUGCUUGGCACCUUCAGUCUUUUCCUGACGUCAUGUUUGUUCCUGGUGCCUCAGAUAGGAGACGGCUGUUCUGACGGCUCCUGCUUCCCCAU